This 556-nucleotide ribosomal RNA is filed under the name uncultured bacterium. RNAcentral describes it as "bacterial SSU rRNA". It matches the Rfam family "Bacterial small subunit ribosomal RNA", at positions 28 to 610 of the family's 1533-position model. The record is from RNAcentral.
GGCGAACGCUAGCGGUACGCCUAACACAUGCAAGUCGAGCGGGAUUUUUCUAGAAGCUUGCUUCUGAAAAACAAGAGCGGCAAAGGGGUGAGUAACACGUUGGUACUUGCCCCUUGGUCAGGGAUAGCCCAUCGAAAGAUGGAUUAAUACCGGAUAGUCUCUUCGGAGUAAAGAUUUAUCGCCAAGGGAGUGGCCUGCGUUCUAUCAGCUAGUUGGUGAGGUAAUGGCUUACCAAGGCUAUGACGGAUAACUGGUCUGAGAGGAUGAUCAGUCACAAUGGAACUGAGACACGGUCCAUACUCCUACGGGAGGCAGCAGUGAGGAAUAUUCCACAAUGGGCGAAAGCCUGAUGGAGCGAUACCGCGUGAAGGAUGAAGGUCUAACGAUUGUAAACUUCUUUUCUGAGGGAGCAUAAUGAUAGUACCUCAGGAAUAAGGGACGGCUAAUUACGUGCCAGCAGCCGCGGUAAUACGUAAGUCCCAAGCGUUGCCCGGAAUUACUGGGUGUAAAGGGUUAGUAGGCGGUUUAGUAAGUUGGAUAUGAAAGACCGGAGCUC